UCAAAUGAAUUGAUCCUUCAACUAAAGGGUGGUUCCAACCAUAUGUUUCCAUUCAAAUGCAUUGAUCCUUCAACUAAAAGGGGGUUCCAACCAUGUCUUCAUUCAAAUGCAUUGAUCCUUCAACUAAAAGGGGGUUCCAACCAUAUGUCUCCAUUCAAAUGCAUUGAUCCUUCAACAACAAGGGGGUUCCAACCAUAUGUCUCCAUUCAAAUGCAUUAAUCCUUCAACUAAAAGGGGAUUCCAACCAUAUGUCUCCAUUCAAAUGCAUUGAUCCUUCAACUAAAAGGAAUAAUAUUCAGUGAUGCUGUUCUAUGAAGCAAAUACAUUUGAUAAGCAAUUGACCACUAAAAGGUUUUGAAUCACUUUUAUUUUACUUCUAUUGAUAAAUAGGAAAAAAUAUUUUUCUUGCCAUAUUGCUUUAUGUUGUGCACAA
RNAcentral lists this long non-coding RNA (433 nucleotides) under Mytilus galloprovincialis (Mediterranean mussel). The record is from RNAcentral. Lineage: Eukaryota; Metazoa; Mollusca; Bivalvia; Mytilida; Mytilidae.